This 374-nucleotide unclassified non-coding RNA is filed under the name uncultured bacterium. RNAcentral's name for it is "contains 16S-23S intergenic spacer region". The record is from RNAcentral.
UCCGGUUUGUCACCGGCAGUCUCCCUAGAGUGCCCUUGCGUAGCAACUAGGGACAAGGGUUGCGCUCGUUGCGGGACUUAACCCAACAUCUCACGACACGAGCUGACGACAGCCAUGCAGCACCUCGACUACAGUCUCUUGCGAGAAGUCCCUGUUUCCAAGGAUUGUCCAUAGCCGUUCGAGCCCAGGUAAGGUUCUUCGCGUUGCGUCGAAUUGAACCACAUGCUCCACCGCUUGUGCGGGCCCCCGUCAAUUCAUUUGAGUUUUAACCUUGCGGCCGUACUCCCCAGGCGGGAUACUUAAUGCGUUAGCUUCGCCACGACUGGAUUCAAUCCCAGUCACAGCAAGUAUCCAUCGUUUAGGGCUAGGACUAC